GUCCACGCCCUAAACGAUGUCUACUAGUUGUCGGGUCUUAAUUGACUUGGUAACGCAGCUAACGCGUGAAGUAGACCGCCUGGGGAGUACGGUCGCAAGAUUAAAACUCAAAGGAAUUGACGGGGACCCGCACAAGCGGUGGAUGAUGUGGAUUAAUUCGAUGCAACGCGAAAACCUUACCUACCAUUGACAUGGCUGGAAUCCCUGAGAGAUCGGGGAGGUGCUCGAAAGAGAACCAAGUACACAGGUGCUGCAUGGCUGUCGU
Molecule: ribosomal RNA, 265 nt
Filed under: uncultured bacterium
Lineage: Bacteria
Description: partial 16S ribosomal RNA
Rfam family: Bacterial small subunit ribosomal RNA
Source: RNAcentral